RNA transcript from Budorcas taxicolor (takin), 1510 nucleotides. It is a transcript of the gene named RNA polymerase I and III subunit C, with no coding region annotated. The record is from RefSeq and is a predicted model, not a curated record. NCBI's taxonomy places the organism in Eukaryota, Metazoa, Chordata, Mammalia, Artiodactyla, Bovidae. The transcript has 10 exons.
GCGCACGCAUCAGUUAGGUACUCUGGUCACGUGGAGGAGUUGAAGAUGGCGGCGGCCCAGGCUGUGGAGGAAAUGAGGACCCGCGUGGUUCUAGGGGAGUUUGGGGUUCGCAAUGUUCAUACCACUGACUUUCCCGGUAACUAUUGCGGCUACGAUGAUGCCUGGGACCAGGACCGCUUUGAGAAGAAUUUCCGUGUGGAUGUGGUACACAUGGAUGAAAACUCAUUGGAGUUUGACAUGGUGGGAAUCGACGCAGCCAUUGCCAAUGCGUUUCGGCGCAUUCUGUUAGCUGAGGUGCCGACCAUGGCUGUGGAGAAGGUCCUGGUGUACAACAACACAUCCAUCGUCCAGGAUGAGAUCCUCGCCCACCGCCUGGGCCUCAUCCCCAUUCAUGCCGACCCCCGUCUUUUUGAAUAUCGGAACCAAGGAGACGAAGGCGGCACAGAGAUUGACACCCUGCAGUUCCGGCUGCAGGUCAGGUGCACGCGGAACCCCCACGCUGCUAAAGACUCCUCUGACCCCAAUGAGCUCUAUGUCAACCACAAAGUGUACACCAGGCACAUGACGUGGGUGCCCCUGGGGAACCAGGCUGACCUCUUCCCGGAGGGCACCAUCCGCCCAGUGCACGACGACAUCCUCAUUGCGCAGCUGCGGCCUGGCCAGGAGAUUGACCUGCUCAUGCACUGCGUCAAGGGCAUUGGCAAAGAUCAUGCCAAGUUUUCACCUGUGGCAACAGCCAGUUACAGGCUCCUGCCAGAUAUCACCCUGCUGGAGCCUGUGGAAGGGGAGGCGGCGGAAGAGCUGAGCCGCUGCUUCUCACCUGGUGUUAUUGAGGUGCAGGAAAUCCAAGGUAAAAAGGUGGCCAGAGUUGCCAAUCCCCGGCUAGAUACCUUUAGCAGGGAAGUCUUCCGGAAUGAGAAGCUAAAGAAGGUUGUACGGCUUGCGCGUGUUCGAGACCAUUAUAUCUUUUCUGUUGAGUCCACAGGGGUGUUGCCACCAGAUGUGCUGGUGAGUGAAGCCAUCAAGGUGCUGAUGGGGAAGUGUCAGCGGUUCCUGGACGAAUUGGAUGCGGUUCAGAUGGACUAAGGCCACGCUGGAUGAUAUGGCCAGGAUCGGGUACUCCUGAGGCAAGCUGAAGACUUCAGCCCCACCAGAGAGGAGUAGGCAGCUGGUAAACCUGGAGGGAAACAUGCGGAGACGGCCUUCACAGUGGACAGGAAGCCCAAAGCACCACCCAGGAAGAGGGGACGGAUCCAGCCUGUGCCAUAGGGUGCUACGUGGACUCCCAAGUCUUUUCCAGCUUCACCUCUUCCUGCCCCCACCUGACCUGGGGCCAUACCAGCUAAGAGCUGCAGCUUCAGUCCAUGCACUCUGACUGGCUCUCACUGAAAAGCCUGGUCAGUGGAUUGGACUGAUGCCAGGCCUCUGUGGAGAGCACAUGAACACUGUGGAGAUUAACUUAAUUCCCACACCCAUGUCCCCUCUGCUUAUAGGGCCAUCCAGUGAUGUC